Molecule: ribosomal RNA, 116 nt
Filed under: Bacillus mycoides
Lineage: Bacteria; Bacillati; Bacillota; Bacilli; Caryophanales; Bacillaceae
Description: partial 16S ribosomal RNA
Rfam family: Bacterial small subunit ribosomal RNA
Source: RNAcentral
CGGUGGGGUAACCUUUAUGGAGCCAGCCGCCUAAGGUGGGACAGAUGAUUGGGGUGAAGUCGUAACAAGGUAGCCGUAUCGGAAGGUGCGGCUGGAUCACCUCCUUUCUAUGGAGA